UACAGAGGGUGCAAGCGUUAAUCGGAAUUACUGGGCGUAAAGCGUGCGUAGUCGGUUAUUUAAGUCGGGUGUGAAAGCCCCGGGCUCAACCUGGGAAUUGCAUUCGAUACUGGAUAGCUAGAGUUCGGCAGAGGGAAGCGGAAUUUCCGGUGUAGCGGUGAAAUGCGUAGAUAUCGGAAGGAACAUCAGUGGCGAAAGCGGCUUCCUGGUCCAGCACCGACGUCAGGCACGAAAGCGUGGGGAGCAAACAGG
Molecule: ribosomal RNA, 252 nt
Filed under: uncultured bacterium
Lineage: Bacteria
Description: partial 16S ribosomal RNA
Rfam family: Bacterial small subunit ribosomal RNA
Source: RNAcentral